AUUAACGCUAGCGGCAGGCCUAAUACAUGCAAGUCGAGGGGCAGCACGGGUAGCAAUACUUGGUGGCGACCGGCGCACGGGUGCGUAACGCGUAUGCAACUUACCUUAAACUGGAGAAUAGCCUUUCGAAAGGAAGAUUAAUACUCCAUAGCCUUAUGAAAAAGCAUUUUUUUAUAAGUAAAGCUCCGGCGGUUUAAGAUGGGCAUGCGUGUCAUUAGCUAGUUGGUGAGGUAAUGGCUCACCAAGGCUACGAUGACUAGGGGAUCUGAGAGGAUUAACCCCCACACUGGUACUGAGACACGGACCAGACUCCUACGGGAGGCAGCAGUAAGGAAUAUUGGACAAUGGUGGAAACACUGAUCCAGCCAUGCCGCGUGAAGGAUGAAGGCCCUCUGGGUUGUAAACUUCUUUUAUACGAGAAAAAACCCUUGUUCGUGAACGAGGUUGAUGGUACCGUAUGAAUAAGCAUCGGCUAACUUCGU
RNAcentral lists this ribosomal RNA (482 nucleotides) under uncultured bacterium. Its description in RNAcentral is "bacterial SSU rRNA". It matches the Rfam family "Bacterial small subunit ribosomal RNA", at positions 29 to 506 of the family's 1533-position model. The record is from RNAcentral.